GUUCUUUCUAAGGUAUUUUCGCCCUGGAGCGGGAUUGAAUAUUAUAUUUAUAGAUGUAUAUAGUUGACUGGAUUCCUGAUAAAUAUUAUUAAAUAACUGUCCAAAAAAUGAUGUUUGAAUGCAAUUUCAAUGAAUGUUUACUGAUCUUAACUUACUUAAUAUCGCUGUUGAUGAACCUGCUGAAUUAAGUUAUAGCGAUGUAAAGAAUCAUGUUCAUUUAAAAAAAAUAGUCAACACAGUAGGCCGAGCACGUGAGUCGACUUUGUGUGUAGAGCAAAUCGAUGCUUUUGUCGGAUUUACGGUGUGUUAAAGGUGUUAUUUCGAUACUGGAUUAGUUAUUGUGUACAUGAAAGUUCUGAACGUGGAACGUUGUCCCGAAGAACUGGGAAUGAAAUAAGCUGGACAGUGACUGCUGGAAGCUGUACUGUGUCUGUGGGUGGGGAACUUGCAAUGAUGUUUCGGGUAGAAUUUCCGCUUCGGUCUGGUGUUGUUCCGGCUGGCUAGUGGACUGCGUUGACGAAAAUGUGGCCGUGCUGAUGAGUGUUUUCUACCUUAAAUUGGUUCUGCAUUUUUACCAUGGGAGGCAGCAGAGCUUGUCCAACAAAAACGAUCAUCAUGAAAUGGAGUGCGCCUCGACAAAGACCCUGACAGUGCCUCGGGCCAGGAGAGGGGCUGAUAAGUGGGGGAAUCAGACGGCUAGAAGAGACUGGUCACAUGUUGGUCCACACCACUUCCGCUGUCUCAAUUGGUUACCUGUCAGCAAACGUGUUGACCAGAUUAGCCUUUGUCAUGUUUUCAAGGUCAAAAAUGGGUUAGCUCCUGAUUAUAUGGCAGAGUCGUUUAUCCCCCAGGAUUCUGUUCAUUCAUAUAAGACAAGAUCAUGUAGUAGGGGUGCUUUUCAAUUCCAAAGGUCAAAGGUUUUGGUCCCAAGUCCUUCUGCUCUCUUGGUUGCUCCGUGUGGAACAGCCUACCAGCUGACAUAUCCAGUAUUGGAAGGUUACCUUCAUUCAAAAUAGCAUAUAAGAAGUACCUGAUGGACAGUUUAUAAUUUUCUCAUUUGUAUAUCAUUAUUAUCUAUGUAUCAUUAUUGUUU
Long non-coding RNA from Dreissena polymorpha, 1093 nucleotides. RefSeq lists it as uncharacterized. The record is from RefSeq and is a predicted model, not a curated record. The transcript has 3 exons. NCBI's taxonomy places the organism in Eukaryota, Metazoa, Mollusca, Bivalvia, Myida, Dreissenidae.